AGUCGAACGAUGAUGCCCAGCUUGCUGGGUGGAUUAGUGGCGAACGGGUGAGUAAUACGUGAGUAACCUGCCCUUGACUCUGGGAUAAGCCUGGGAAACUGGGUCUAAUACUGGAUACUACCUCUUACCGCAUGGUGGGUGGUGGAAAGGGUUUUACUGGUUUUGGAUGGGCUCACGGCCUAUCAGCUUGUUGGUGGGGUAAUGGCUCACCAAGGCGACGACGGGUAGCCGGCCUGAGAGGGUGACCGGCCACACUGGGACUGAGACACGGCCCAGACUCCUACGGGAGGCAGCAGUGGGGAAUAUUGCACAAUGGGCGGAAGCCUGAUGCAGCGACGCCGCGUGAGGGAUGACGGCCUUCGGGUUGUAAACCUCUUUCAGUAGGGAAGAAGCGAGAGUGACGGUACCUGCAGAAGAAGCGCCGGCUAACUACGUGCCAGCAGCCGCGGUAAUACGUAGGGCGCAAGCGUUGUCCGGAAUUAUUGGGCGUAAAGAGCUCGUAGGCGGUUUGUCGCGUCUGCUGUGAAAGCCCGGGGCUCAACCCCGGGUCUGCAGUGGGUACGGGCAGACUAGAGUGCAGUAGGGGAGACUGGAAUUCCUGGUGUAGCGGUGAAAUGCGCAGAUAUCAGGAGGAACACCGAUGGCGAAGGCAGGUCUCUGGGCUGUUACUGACGCUGAGGAGCGAAAGCAUGGGGAGCGAACAGGAUUAGAUACCCUGGUAGUCCAUGCCGUAAACGUUGGGCACUAGGUGUGGGGGACAUUCCACGUUUUCCGCGCCGUAGCUAACGCAUUAAGUGCCCCGCCUGGGGAGUACGGCCGCAAGGCUAAAACUCAAAGGAAUUGACGGGGGCCCGCACAAGCGGCGGAGCAUGCGGAUUAAUUCGAUGCAACGCGAAGAACCUUACCAAGGCUUGACAUUCACCGGACCGCCCCAGAGAUGGGGUUUCCCUUCGGGGCUGGUGGACAGGUGGUGCAUGGUUGUCGUCAGCUCGUGUCGUGAGAUGUUGGGUUAAGUCCCGCAACGAGCGCAACCCUCGUUCUAUGUUGCCAGCACGUGAUGGUGGGGACUCAUAGGAGACUGCCGGGGUCAACUCGGAGGAAGGUGGGGAUGACGUCAAAUCAUCAUGCCCCUUAUGUCUUGGGCUUCACGCAUGCUACAAUGGCCGGUACAAAGGGUUGCGAUACUGUGAGGUGGAGCUAAUCCCAAAAAGCCGGUCUCAGUUCGGAUUGAGGUCUGCAACUCGACCUCAUGAAGUCGGAGUCGCUAGUAAUCGCAGAUCAGCAACGCUGCGGUGAAUACGUUCCCGGGCCUUGUACACACCGCCCGUCAAGUCACGAAAGUUGGUAACACCCGAAGCCGGUGGCCUAACCCCUUGUGGGAGGGAGCCG
RNAcentral lists this ribosomal RNA (1389 nucleotides) under Kocuria sp. TMS2-13. Its description in RNAcentral is "16S ribosomal RNA". It matches the Rfam family "Bacterial small subunit ribosomal RNA". Lineage: Bacteria; Bacillati; Actinomycetota; Actinomycetes; Micrococcales; Micrococcaceae. The record is from RNAcentral.